Non-coding RNA from Vicia faba (fava bean), 276 nucleotides. Lineage: Eukaryota; Viridiplantae; Streptophyta; Magnoliopsida; Fabales; Fabaceae. The record is from the annotation of a GenBank genome assembly.
AUGACACUUCCUCUGCAUACCGCUCCGGUCCACCGCUGCAAGUCCUCCCUCCGGCCACCGCGCGAACGCGGUAUCUCUUCCAUCUCCGCCGCAUUUUUCCGGCAUUUUCCUCUCCUCUUCGCGACUGUUCCGACAUUAACAUCAUCCUCUAUUUCGCGCUUCGAUUCUGGAGGAAGAUCCUCGAUUCUCGAACCGAUCAACAUCAGCGGCGACUCAGAUUCAGAGUAUCACGCCUCUCUUUUUCUACCGUCUUCAGUGAUCUCUCAUGCAGUGUAG